CAGGGAAUCUUGCGCAAUGGGCCGAUAUGGCCUGACGCAGCGACACCGCGUGGGGGAAGAAGGCUCUAGGGUUGUAAACCCCUUUUCUCGGGGAAGAGAGAGGACGGUACCCGAGGAAUAAGCCUCGGCUAACUACGUGCCAGCAGCCGCGGUAAUACGUAGGAGGCAAGCGUUGUCCGGAUUUACUGGGCGUAAAGGGCGAGUAGGCGGCCUGCCAAGUCUCAUGUGAAAUCUCCCGGCUCAACUGGGAGGGGUCAUGGGAAACUGGCGGGCUUGAGGGCAGCAGAGGAAAGCGGAAUUUCCGGAGUAGCGGUGAAAUGCGUAGAUACCGGAAGGAACACCAGAGGCGAAGGCGGCUUUCUGGGCUGCUCCUGACGCUGAGGCGCGAAAGCAUGGGUAGCAAACCGG
This 408-nucleotide ribosomal RNA is filed under the name uncultured bacterium. Its description in RNAcentral is "bacterial SSU rRNA". It matches the Rfam family "Bacterial small subunit ribosomal RNA", at positions 355 to 776 of the family's 1533-position model. The record is from RNAcentral.